CUUCCCCCUCUGCUUGCCUCUCACUGGGAGUGAGGAACGGCAGCAGGGUGAGGGCAGGGCUGGCGCGUGGGGGCGGAGGCACUUGAGGCGUGGGUGAGGGUGUGGGCGGCCAAGCAGCAGGUGGGCGGAGGAGUGGGCGUGAGUCGAGGCGCGUGGGGGAGGCAGCUGCAGAGGCGGAGGCCGGGCGCGGGGGAGGUGGCAGCCAGGUGGUGCGUGCAUGGUUGAGGCGGCCGGGCAUGGUUGAGGCGGAGGCAGAGCAGGAUGGACGCAGGCGGAGGCUAGGCUGGUGCCGACCGGGCGGUAACACCAACCGGAACUAAAGGACCCCUCUUUUGUCUUGAAAAAAAUUAUCCCGGAUGGUUUUGGGAGAAAUUUGAGGCCUACCAACCGGAACUAAAGUCUGAAGGACCUGAGAUAGGGAAUCGGAGCCUGGGUGCCCAUGCCGCUGGUGCCACAAAUCCACCGAGGUUGUUGACGAAGCAGUGAAUGCCUGAGCUUGUGGCAGCAACAGUGGGUAAAGGUCACCCUGACUCUAACUGCAGAGCUUCACCAUGCGCGUUUUAAGAAAUGAGGAUGUUGUUGAGGAGCAGUGGUGAAGAAUAAAUCAGCAACAAAGGGCUAGCGGUGUGGGUGAUAGGAAGUUGAGUGCCGUUGCCAAUAGUGAUAAAAGAGGAGAUACUUAAAGGACGAGGAGAAGCAAGUAUACUAGGCAUGGAGGACAUGUGUGUAGAUGCUCUCGUGUCAAAGUACCACUCAGCAAUGCUUGGAGGAAGCGGAGUGGCGAAGCUGGCGGACUGCAAGGCGCUAUAGAGGGUGCUAUUGACCCAGGAGCCAUUGUUGGAGUCGACUAGGGUAGGGAGGUGAUGCUAGUGUUGGGCCAUCAUCGGAAGGUAACUGAUACUAUGUAAUAGGAAAUUGGAUCAACCACACUUGUAUUGAUCUGUUUAGACUCAUAUGUAUAUACAUGUACACA
Long non-coding RNA from Setaria italica (foxtail millet), 973 nucleotides. RefSeq lists it as uncharacterized. The record is from RefSeq and is a predicted model, not a curated record. The transcript is spliced from 3 exons. Lineage: Eukaryota; Viridiplantae; Streptophyta; Magnoliopsida; Poales; Poaceae.